This 1277-nucleotide long non-coding RNA is filed under the name Sus scrofa (pig). Its description in RNAcentral is "lncRNA (ENSSSCG00005000624.1)". The record is from RNAcentral. Lineage: Eukaryota; Metazoa; Chordata; Mammalia; Artiodactyla; Suidae.
CUCUCUCUCUCUCUCUCCCUCUCUCUCUCUCUCUCUCUGUCUCGCGCUCUCCUCUCUCUUCUCUUCUCUCCCCUCUGGUCUCCCUCGUCUUCCCUCCCCCCCCCACACCCCUUCUUCCUCCCCUCGGCUGCUCCUGCUUUUCGCAUCACACACACUAUAUAAAUAUACGCGGAGAUGCCCAGAUACAUUCAUGCGCUGCGCACACAGGAUACUUGCUCCCGGGAGAUAAGAGCGAACUAGGAACAAUGCCGGGGUCCACGCCCGGCGCCCGCGCCCUGAUUCCCGAGAUACGUUCAUUAAUGCUUUUUCCAGCCGGAGACAAAUUUUGGGGGGGGGGGAGUGCAGAAGAGUUUACUCGGGCUGGGGAUAACCUGGAGCUUACUGCCCUGGAAGACCUGGACGCAAACCGAAGCAGACCAACCAUUAAAAAGUGCAUCCAAUGGACAUUCUUCCACUCGGGCCCUCGACUGCGGAGUCGCGCAAACUCCUGGAGCGGCUCACGCAACUACGCGGGCUCCUGCGGUUUCGGACGGACCUCGGCCGUCGGGGGCGGGGACUCGGCUCCCAGCGCGGUUAGCGAAGGGACGCCCUCGGGGCGGUGCGCCUCGGUCCCUCAGCUACUGGAGAGCUCCCGGCUCCGGGAUCCGCGGCACCCCAGGCCACUUAUCCGCGCCAUCUAGGGUCAAACCCCUCGCGCAUACCCCGACCCAAGGGCCCAAACCCUUGCGCCCGGGCGCCCGGGCCAGUGCUGCCUAUGCAGUGCCACCUUUGGCCCCAAGAAACCUACGGUACAGCGAGACGAUCCCUCCAGGCUGUCCGGCAGGUCUCCAGAACACAGCUUGCAACAUCCCCGCACCGACCCAGACCUCUCCCAGCCCAGACUCUGUCGACCUUCAAAUGACAACAAGGCUUUCAGGAGGGAGCAGGGAGACUGCUUCCCACCAGGACCUGACCAGAAACCCGGCACCCUCAGCCUCAUUCUCCCUCUUUCAGGCAGAAAGACCGCCAAUCUACCACAGGAGGCCCCCUUCUCGGUGCUGGGCAAACACUGAGGUCAUUAAUGGCCACCCCAGGCCAGGCAGUGGCUCCCCCUUCUAGGGCUUGUGAAGGCACCUCUGUGGCAAAACAUUGGCCAGUCUUCUCUUUCCAACUCCUCUUCUGCCUGGCAACUACCUGCCUUCACUGCUCUGAUCACCCCAACGUCCCUAGCAUCCCUGCCUCUCUUCUUGGGAGAACUCCAUGUGGAACUAAAUUAAAAUGAGGACUUGUCCUCCUGU